UGUGUUAAACUGCAGCUGGUGCAAACGGGAUCCUACGUUAGGGUUGUCCAUAACACAUUUCUCCACUUGCUCAACAUGUUGAACCAGUCUAGACCUGUUCAUCUACCCCAAGGUGUGUCUACAUCAUAUAUAAAGGCGUAGCAGAGCGAUUCUUCAGAAGUAUACUGGAAGAGUUAUAAGUUUCAUUGUCGUUAUUUCUAAGAACAAUAAAAUGUCAGACACAAACCCAGACAAAGCCCCUCAGUGCAAUAAGGGCAAAGAAGGUGAGGGCAAGGCCAAAGGUAAAGACCACGGACCUGGCCACGGACACGGCCAUGGACCCCAAGGCCAGGGUGAGGGCAAAGGUCAUGGUCACGGACACGGUCCAGGUGCACCUGGAAAGGACUGCAAAGGAAAAGGCAAACCAUAAUGACAAGAAGCUGAGUGAAGAGACGUCUGAAGUCUGGCUGAUGCCAUUUUCUUUCUCCUGUAAAACAUGAAUUAAUUAAAACCUGUAUAAGUAAACUGCAUAUAUUUGUUUACCAUUAAAAGAUAACCAAUAAAAUAUUCAAUAAUCAAUAACGAA
Molecule: long non-coding RNA, 565 nt
Organism: Tachysurus fulvidraco (yellow catfish)
Lineage: Eukaryota; Metazoa; Chordata; Actinopteri; Siluriformes; Bagridae
Exons: 5
Source: RefSeq, a predicted model, not a curated record